UUAACAUGAUUAACUUUAUACCGCCCCAGUCUGAUUUCUGUGACUGAUUGGUUUACUCAAUGAUUUUGU
Small nucleolar RNA from Neodiprion virginianus, 69 nucleotides. Lineage: Eukaryota; Metazoa; Arthropoda; Insecta; Hymenoptera; Diprionidae. The record is from RefSeq and is a predicted model, not a curated record.